GACGAGCGCUGGCGGCGUGCCUAAUACAUGCAAGUUGAGCGCUGAAGGUUGGUACUUGUACCAACUGGAUGAGCAGCGAACGGGUGAGUAACGCGUGGGGAAUCUGCCUUUGAGCGGGGGACAACAUUUGGAAACGUAUGCUAAUACCGCAUAAAAACUUUAAACACAAGUUUUAAGUUUGAAAGAUGCAAUUGCAUCACUCAAAGAUGAUCCCGCGUUGUAUUAGCUAGUUGGUGAGGUAAAGGCUCACCAAGGCGAUGAUACAUAGCCGACCUGAGAGGGUGAUCGGCCACAUUGGGACUGAGACACGGCCCAAACUCCUACGGGAGGCAGCAGUAGGGAAUCUUCGGCAAUGGACGAAAGUCUGACCGAGCAACGCCGCGUGAGUGAAGAAGGUUUUCGGAUCGUAAAACUCUGUUGGUAGAGAAGAACGUUGGUGAGAGUGGAAAGCUCAUCAAGUGACGGUAACUACCCAGAAAGGGACGGCUAACUACGUG
RNAcentral lists this ribosomal RNA (497 nucleotides) under uncultured bacterium. RNAcentral's name for it is "partial 16S ribosomal RNA". It matches the Rfam family "Bacterial small subunit ribosomal RNA", at positions 28 to 507 of the family's 1533-position model. The record is from RNAcentral.